UAUCCUUAAACAUCACAGUCCAAGUUAACACUGUGUUCACCAAGCCGUUUUUUACCCCGGUUAUCAUCCCCAGGUGGUCCUUUGACCCAUGGUCUUUUAAGAAAUCGGCCUUCACCUCAUACUUCCAACGAUGCCUUACUCAUUGUAGUAGUAGAACUCUCUUUACAGCCGAGCUCAACAGAGUAUACAAGAUUGGCCUUAAACACGGUUAUAGCCGCAAGUUUAUGAAUAAGCAUUUUAACAAAGUCAAAAAGGAUUACCAGAACAACCAUGUUGACCAACAACACUUCAAUCCUUCCCCGCAAACGGCGUCUAACCCUGUUACACACACCCGAUUCCCGCUACCCUAUAGGGUGAAUAAAAUUAACACCAUCAAUUCUGUCCUACGAUCUCAGGGUAAGAAAAAAGCAUAUAACAGGGCACCUACCAUCUUCAAUCUACUGCGUAAUGAUAAAUCAAGGAGAUGCCAU
This 470-nucleotide long non-coding RNA is filed under the name Androctonus crassicauda. The record is from RNAcentral. Lineage: Eukaryota; Metazoa; Arthropoda; Arachnida; Scorpiones; Buthidae.